AACGCGAAGAACCUUACCUACCCUUGACAUCCAAAAGAGAUUGCAGAGAUGCGAUUGUGCCGAAAGGAAUUUUGAGACAGGUGCUGCAUGGCUGUCGUCAGCUCGUGUUGUGAGAUGUUGGGUUAAGUCCCGUAACGAGCGCAACCCUUAUCCUUAGUUGCCAACAUGUAAUGGUGGGGACUCUAAGGAGACUGCCGGUGAUGAACCGGAGGAAGGCGGGGACGACGUCAAGUCAUCAUGGCCUUUAUGGGUAGGGCUACACACGUGCUACAAUGGACGGUACAGAGGGCAGCGAGCGUGCGAACGCAAGCCAAUCCCUAAAAGCCGUUCGUAGUCCGGAUCGGAGUCUGCAACUCGACUCCGUGAAGUCGGAAUCGCUAGUAAUCGCGAAUCAGAAUGUCGCGGUGAAUACGUUCCCGGGCCUUGUACACACCGCGCAUA
RNAcentral lists this ribosomal RNA (441 nucleotides) under uncultured bacterium. RNAcentral describes it as "bacterial SSU rRNA". It matches the Rfam family "Bacterial small subunit ribosomal RNA", at positions 958 to 1398 of the family's 1533-position model. The record is from RNAcentral.